UACAUGCCAUUUGUCAAAAUCUGAUGAAUCAAAACUCUGGCACAGGCGACUUGGUCACAUAAACUUCAGAGACAUGGAUAAAAUGAUCAAACUAGACGCUGUGAGGGGAGUUCCUAAGCUCAGAAUAGAUCCAGAGAACGUUUGUGGUGCAUGUGCCAUUGGAAAACAAAUAAGAACUCCACACAAAGCUGUGAAAGUAAUCAGAGAUAAGGAGAUGAUCAGUAGCUGGUCCGAGAGGAUGAUCAGCCACACUGGGAUUGAGACACGACCCAGACUCCUACGGGAGGUAGCAGUGG
This 296-nucleotide non-coding RNA is filed under the name Ipomoea nil (Japanese morning glory). Its description in RNAcentral is "Bacterial small subunit ribosomal RNA". The stretch from base 100 to 296 matches the Rfam family "Bacterial small subunit ribosomal RNA", at positions 1 to 357 of the family's 1533-position model. The record is from Rfam by way of RNAcentral. Lineage: Eukaryota; Viridiplantae; Streptophyta; Magnoliopsida; Solanales; Convolvulaceae.